Molecule: ribosomal RNA, 430 nt
Filed under: uncultured bacterium
Lineage: Bacteria
Description: bacterial SSU rRNA
Rfam family: Bacterial small subunit ribosomal RNA
Source: RNAcentral
AGGCAGCAGUGGGGAAUAUUGCACAAUGGGCGCAAGCCUGAUCCAGCAAUGCCGCGUGGAUGAAGAAGGUCUUCGGAUUGUAAAGUCCUUUCGACGGGGACGAUGAUGACGGUACCCGUAGAAGAAGCCCCGGCUAACUUCGUGCCAGCAGCCGCGGUAAUACGAAGGGGGCUAGCGUUGCUCGGAAUGACUGGGCGUAAAGGGCGCGUAGGCGGUUUGGUUAGUUAGGCGUGAAAUUCCUGGGCUCAACCUGGGGACUGCGCUUAAUACAGCCAGACUAGAGUGUGGAAGAGGGUCGUGGAAUUCCCAGUGUAGAGGUGAAAUUCGUAGAUAUUGGGAAGAACACCGGUGGCGAAGGCGGCGACCUGGUCCAUUACUGACGCUGAGGCGCGAAAGCGUGGGGAGCAAACAGGAUUAGAUACCCUGGUAG